GCCGCCUUAGCUCAGUCGGUCAGAGCGACGCACUCGUAAUGCGUAGGUCGGGGGUUCGACUCCCCCAGGCGGCUCCA
RNAcentral lists this transfer RNA (77 nucleotides) under Pseudonocardiaceae bacterium. RNAcentral's name for it is "tRNA-Thr". It matches the Rfam family "tRNA". Rfam says of the family: Transfer RNA (tRNA) molecules are approximately 80 nucleotides in length. Their secondary structure includes four short double-helical elements and three loops (D, anti-codon, and T loops). The record is from RNAcentral. RNAcentral also lists the same sequence under 1 other name. Lineage: Bacteria; Bacillati; Actinomycetota; Actinomycetes; Pseudonocardiales; Pseudonocardiaceae.